UCGCGUUCCAUUCUGUCUCGAGCUUGGAGCAGGACAAGAAUUCAGAGCCCUUUUACCGUCCUGCUCAGCCAGUGUCGAAGCUCGCUCUGACCUCUUGUAUUCGUGGACGCUUCGAGUUUAUCGACGUCGUCGUUGAACGAGUCUGCGCUGCCUGUACGUGCUGGUAGUGACGUACCAGCAGCUGCUGUUCGGCACCGUGCACCCAGGCGUCGCCAGCUUCCUACCGUUCGUGUAUAUACCGCUGCUCGAGAUAGACACCAUGUCUGAAGUCUGCAACAAUUAUUUCACGGAGCUCUUCUUCACGUGCUUUGGUCAGCUGGCGUACACCGCUGCCAUGACGACGAGCGGCCUCUGUCACCGGCUCGCGCUCUGGUCGCUGCGACACAUGGCGUACGGCAUCGAGCUCGGGAUAUUCACCCUGAUGGCCGUCUCCAUGGCCAUCUCCUUCUGGGUGGACAACGCGAUCGCCACGCUGACCACAGUGUCCGUGGUCAAUGAGACGUUCGGCAUCAUACAGCGGAACACCUACAUCCGCAUGACGCAGGACGCUUCCUUCAGGGAGCUGAACAUGAGCUCCAGCAAUAGCGGAGAAGACAACAUCCCUAUUACAGAAGAGUUGGCUGACGAAUUCACGAAGUUGGACCGUAUGCGGCAAACCAGCUUGAUUGGAGUCGGAUUUUGCGCCACGCUAGGCGGCAUGGGGUUACUGUCGGGUCACCUGAUCAACUAUUACCUCCUCGGCUACAUUAGAGAGGAAUACGGCCCGCUGGUCAUCACUCCGCUGUCUUGGUGUGUUUUCCACCUUCCACUGUGCUUCAUGCUACUCGUAGCUACGUGGGCUGUGCUUCACUACCUCGCGCUGGGCAACUCGGUGGCAUCGAGAUACCGAGAGCAGAUCAACGAAGACUUACAGAAGGCCAUCGACGAGCAAGUCGCAGCCCUAGGCCCACUGAAGCUUCACGAGGGCGGCGUGCUCUUGAACUACGUCCUGCUGAACGUCCUUCUCUUCCUGGGCAGCAGGUUCACGCAAGAGCUCAGCAAGCGUUCCGGCAUCUGGGUCUCGCACAGCGCCCUGUGGGUGGGCUUCACGAUCGUGCUCUUCGUGUUUCCUGGCGAGUCGGUGACGCAAUGCGACCGGGGUCGCCGGUUGCUCACGUGGACCGAGCUGAACAACAGCAUGCCCUGGUACACUCUGCUGCUCGCCAACACUUGCGUGCUGCUCAGCACCUACUUCCGAACGACAGGCCUGCAGCAGCUGAUGAGGGACGAAGUGUACGAGCACUCGCUGCCCAAGCCGCUCUACGUGCAGAUAAUUAUUUCCCUCGUCACGUCGGUCAUGUGCGAGCUUUGCCAGAACACGGUGGUGGUUGCCAUCUUCGCACCGUACGUUACUCACCUGGCUGACAUUAUGCAGGUGCAUCCAAUGUACUUCAUCCUCGCUGUUUACCACGCCGGAACGUUGUCGAUUAUGUACCCACGUUCCUGCGUCUGCAACGAAAUCGUCUUCGCAGAGAAGUUUAUCAAGACAACCGACAUGGCCGUUCCCGGACUGAUCAUCAAACUAAUGGGGAUAGUCUUGAGCCUCAUAUCCAUCAACACGUCAGGCUACUACAUAUUCGACAUGGCUGCACCACCAUUGCGUUUGCCUCAUGACCUCUUAAACGCUACAAGCUCAAUAAUAUUAUAACUAUUGGGCAUACAUGAAUGCAUCCUUGCGAAGAGAAUUUUAAGGCGUAUUAAUAUUUGGAACUAAUUUGACAUUCUGUGGUGUGCUAGCAACGUUGUGUGACUACUUGCGCCACCUGCCAACUAGGAUUUGAUGCAUUUAUUUGGUGUGAAUGCGAACUCUUGUUAACGAAGAAAUCGUCGGAGGACGCUACCGACAUCUGACUCUGGGGCAAGGCGUAGUCUGCGUUGCAACUUUUUCGGCUUGUUUUGUUUUGUGGGCCCGCAGACGCCUCAUUUGUUUAACUGUUUUAACGGUAAAAGCCUUUUUAUGGCCUCAGCAUUGUUCGCUUGUACAAGAUGCAACGCAAGGCACCCGUUCGAAGAACUUUCUCAAGGGCAACAGCUUUGUAAACCUGUACAGCCCACCAUGAAGAGUGCCUCCACACUAGAGAGCUCAGUGCCUCUCGGCAAAGGACUGCCGAGGUGCUUUUCCCAUUGUCAAGUGCACCUACUGCCGAACAGAAUUCCAACAAGAAAGUGGGAAACUCGGAACUGUGGUCAUCUGCAAGAAGUGUGAGCAGAAUGUGAAAGCCUAUGGCAAG
This is an RNA transcript of Dermacentor albipictus, 2270 nucleotides long. It is a transcript of the gene named protein FAM76B-like, with no coding region annotated. NCBI's taxonomy places the organism in Eukaryota, Metazoa, Arthropoda, Arachnida, Ixodida, Ixodidae. The record is from RefSeq and is a predicted model, not a curated record.